This 492-nucleotide ribosomal RNA is filed under the name uncultured bacterium. RNAcentral describes it as "partial 16S ribosomal RNA". It matches the Rfam family "Bacterial small subunit ribosomal RNA", at positions 29 to 507 of the family's 1533-position model. The record is from RNAcentral.
AGUGAACGCUGGCGGUAGGCCUAACACAUGCAAGUCGAACGGCAGCACAGUAAGAGCUUGCUCUUACGGGUGGCGAGUGGCGGACGGGUGAGGAAUACAUCGGAAUCUACUUUUUCGUGGGGGAUAACGUAGGGAAACUUACGCUAAUACCGCAUACGACCUACGGGUGAAAGCAGUGGAUCUUCGGACCUUGCGCGAUUGAAUGAGCCGAUGUCGGAUUAGCUAGUUGGCGGGGUAAAGGCUCACCAAGGCGACGAUCCGUAGCUGGUCUGAGAGGAUGAGCGGCCAAACUGGAAGGAAGACACGGUCAAGACUCCGACGGUAGGCAGCAGUAGGGAAGCGUCUGCAAUGGGCGAAAGCCUGACGGAGCCACGCCGCGGGAGUGAUGAAGGUCUUCGGAUCGUAAAACUCUUUUAGUAGGGAAGAACAAAUGUGUAAGUAACUAUGCACGUCUUGACGGUACCGAAUCAGAAAGCCACGGCUAACUACGGG